GCACAACCGGUGGAACAUGUGGUUCAAUUCGAUGAUACGCGAGGAACCUUACCUGGGCUUAAAUGUAGUUUGACUUCCGCCGAAAGGCGGUUUUCCUUCGGGACAAAUUACAAGGUGCUGCACGGCUGUCGUCAGCUCGUGCCGUGAGGUAUCGGGUUAAGUCCCUUAACGAGCGCAACCCCUAUUGUUAGUUACCAACAGGUUAAGCUGGGGACUCUAGCAAAACUGCCAGCGUAAGCUGGAGGAAGGUGGGGAUGACGUCAAGUCAGCAUGGCCCUUAUGUCCAGGGCUACACACGUGUUACAAUGGCCGAUACAAAGGGCAGCCACCACGCGAGUGGGAGCUAAUCCUUAAAAUCGGUCUCAGUUCGGAUCGAAGUCUGCAAUUCGACUUCGUGAAGGUGGAAUCGGUAGUAAUCGCGCAUCAGCAAUGGCGCGGUGAUACGUUCCCGGGCCUUGUACACACUGCCCGUCAAGCCAUGGAAUUGUGUUGCCUGAGUCCGUAACCAUCCAGGAGCGGC
Molecule: ribosomal RNA, 520 nt
Filed under: uncultured organism
Description: bacterial SSU rRNA
Rfam family: Bacterial small subunit ribosomal RNA
Source: RNAcentral